RNAcentral lists this ribosomal RNA (468 nucleotides) under uncultured bacterium. RNAcentral describes it as "partial 16S ribosomal RNA". It matches the Rfam family "Bacterial small subunit ribosomal RNA", at positions 28 to 507 of the family's 1533-position model. The record is from RNAcentral.
GACGAACGCUGGCGGCGUGCUUAACACAUGCAAGUCGAACGGAAAGGCCCUGCUUUUGUGGGGUGCUCGAGUGGCGAACGGGUGAGUAACACGUGAGUAACCUGCCCUUGACUUUGGGAUAACUUCAGGAAACUGGGGCUAAUACCGGAUAGGAGCUCCUGCUGCAUGGUGGGGGUUGGAAAGUUUCGGCGGUUGGGGAUGGACGCGCGGCUUAUCAGCUUGUUGGUGGGGUAGUGGCUGACCAAGCCUGUGACGGGUAGCCGGCCUGAGAGGGUGACCGGCCACCAUGGGACUGCGAGACGGCCCAGACUCCUACGGGAGACAGCAGUGGGGAAUAUUGCACAAUGGGCGGAAGCCUGAUGCAGCGGCGCCGCGUGCGGGAUGACGGCCUUCGGGUUGUAAACCGCUUUCGCCUGUGACGAAGCGUUAGUGACGGUAAUGGGUAAAGAAGCACCGGCUAACUACGUG